RNAcentral lists this long non-coding RNA (234 nucleotides) under Ananas comosus (pineapple). RNAcentral's name for it is "long non-coding RNA (ACOM_LNC035657)". Lineage: Eukaryota; Viridiplantae; Streptophyta; Magnoliopsida; Poales; Bromeliaceae. The record is from RNAcentral.
AGUAGCAUUCCCUUACUUCAUCUUUUGUAUUUGAUGAAUUGAGAUGUAAAAGAAAAAGAAUGUAAUGUUUAUCUCGAGGAGAAUGUGAUGUAAAAAGAAAUGAUGAAAAGUAUGUAAAGAACUAUUAAUGUAAUGUAUGUGAUCAAAAGAGAAUCAUAGUACUUGUGUAGAUGUUUAGUUUUCUUUCUUUCACUCAUGGCUAUUGCUGACCUUCGUGUAAGCCGUUUGUGUAUG